GACGAACGCUGGCGGCGUGCUUAACACAUGCAAGUCGAGCGAGGCCCACCUUUCGGGGUGGUGUUCUAGCGGCGAACGGGUGAGUAACACGUGGGCAACCUGCCCUCAGCUCUGGGAUAACUCCAAGAAAUUGGGGCUAAUACCGGAUAUGACCGCUGACCGCAUGGUCUGGUGGUGGAAAGAUUUAUCGGCUGGGGAUGGGCCCGCGGCCUAUCAGCUUGUUGGUGGGGUAGNGGCCUACCAAGGCGACGACGGGUAGCCGGCCUGAGAGGGUGACCGGCCACACUGGGACUGAGACACGGCCCAGACUCCUACGGGAGGCAGCAGUGGGGAAUAUUGCGCAAUGGGCGGAAGCCUGACGCAGCGACGCCGCGUGGGGA
This 380-nucleotide ribosomal RNA is filed under the name uncultured bacterium. Its description in RNAcentral is "bacterial SSU rRNA". It matches the Rfam family "Bacterial small subunit ribosomal RNA", at positions 28 to 407 of the family's 1533-position model. The record is from RNAcentral.